GAUGAACGCUGGCGGCGUGCCUAAUACAUGCAAGUCGAGCGAACGGACGAGAAGCUUGCUUCUCUGAUGUUAGCGGCGGACGGGUGAGUAACACGUGGAUAACCUACCUAUAAGACUGGGAUAACUUCGGGGAACCGGAGCUAAUACCGGAUGAUAUUUUGAACCGCAUGGUUCAAAAGUGAAAGACGGUCUUGCUGUCACUUAUAGAUGGAUCCGCGCUGCAUUAGCUAGUUGGUAAGGUAACGGCUUACCAAGGCAACGAUGCAUAGCCGACGUGAGAGGGUGAUCGGCCACACUGGAACUGAGACACGGUCCAGACUCCUACGGGAGGCAGCAGUAGGGAAUCUUCCGCAAUGGGCGAAAGCCUGACGGAGCAACGCCGCGUGAGUGAUGAAGGUCUUCGGAUCGUAAAACUCUGUUAUUAGGGAAGAACAUAUGUGUAAGUAACUGUGCACAUCUUGACGGUACCUAAUCAGAAAGCCACGGCUAACUACGUG
This 497-nucleotide ribosomal RNA is filed under the name uncultured bacterium. RNAcentral describes it as "partial 16S ribosomal RNA". It matches the Rfam family "Bacterial small subunit ribosomal RNA", at positions 28 to 507 of the family's 1533-position model. The record is from RNAcentral.